This 304-nucleotide ribosomal RNA is filed under the name uncultured bacterium. Its description in RNAcentral is "partial 16S ribosomal RNA". It matches the Rfam family "Bacterial small subunit ribosomal RNA", at positions 506 to 809 of the family's 1533-position model. The record is from RNAcentral.
CAGCAGCAGCCGCGGUAAUACGAAGGGUGCAAGCGUUACUCGGAAUUACUGGGCGUAAAGCGUGCGUAGGUGGUGGUUUAAGUCCGUUGUGAAAGCCCUAGGCUCAACCUGGGAAUGGCAAUGGAUACUGGCAAGCUAGAGUGUGUCAGAGGAUGGUGGAAUUCCCGGUGUAGCGGUGAAAUGCGUAGAGAUCGGGAGGAACAUCAGUGGCGAAGGCGGCCAUCUGGGACAACACUGACGCUGAGGCACGAAAGCGUGGGGAGCAAACAGGAUUAGAGACCCCCGUAGUCCCUGUCUCUUAUAU